GACGAACGCUGGCGGCGUGCCUAAUACAUGCAAGUUGAGCGCUGAAGGUUGGUACUUGUACCAACUGGAUGAGCAGCGAACGGGUGAGUAACGCGUGGGGAAUCUGCCUUUGAGCGGGGGACAACAUUUGGAAACGAAUGCUAAUACCGCAUAAAAACUUUAAACGCAAGUUUUAAGUUUGAAAGAUGCAAUUGCAUCACUCAAAGAUGAUCCCGCGUUGUAUUAGCUAGUUGGUGGGGUAAAGGCUCACCAAGGCGAUGAUACAUAGCCGACCUGAGAGGGUGAUCGGCCACAUUGGGACUGAGACACGGCCCAAACUCCUACGGGAGGCAGCAGUAGGGAAUCUUCGGCAAUGGACGAAAGUCUGACCGAGCAACGCCGCGUGAGUGAAGAAGGUUUUCGGAUCGUAAAACUCUGUUGGUAGAGAAGAACGUUGGUGAGAGUGGAAAGCUCAUCAAGUAACGGUAACUACCCAGAAAGGGACGGCUAACUACGUG
This 497-nucleotide ribosomal RNA is filed under the name uncultured bacterium. Its description in RNAcentral is "partial 16S ribosomal RNA". It matches the Rfam family "Bacterial small subunit ribosomal RNA", at positions 28 to 507 of the family's 1533-position model. The record is from RNAcentral.